Molecule: long non-coding RNA, 2047 nt
Filed under: Carassius auratus (goldfish)
Lineage: Eukaryota; Metazoa; Chordata; Actinopteri; Cypriniformes; Cyprinidae
Description: lncRNA (ENSCARG00000004151.1)
Source: RNAcentral
UGUGGCGUUUGUAAAGCAUAUUGAUCAGAUGCUACAGCGCCACCUGCUGUUCCGUAACACCCUAGAAGAACGACCGACCACCGAUGAGAGAAGCUGUGCUGCUGGGGAUGCUUUCCUCAACCUCACUGGACACAAUAAUGUAAUGCCAUUGACUACUAAAAUAAUCAUAUGUAGUCCAGUUUAAAACUGAUCAACAGUGACAGUAAAGACCUUUACAUUGUUACAAAAAAACAAAAACAAAAAAAACUAAUAUUAUAGAAUGCUGUUUUGAACUUUCUAUGCAUCAAGCAAUUCUAAAUUAAUAUCACAUUUUCCACAAGUGUUUUCAAGAUUAAUAAUAAUAAUGAAUGUUUCUUCAGCAGCAAAUCAACACAUUAGCAUGAUUUCUGAAUGGAGUAGCUUUGCAUCACAGAAAUGUGUUAGAACAGAAAAUGGUUAUUUUAAAUUGUAAUCAUAUUUUACAAUAUUACUGUUUUUUAUCAUUUCAUUGUUUGUCUUUGUGCAGAAGUCUUUCUCUGAUGCAUAUCUUGGAUACGUGGCCAGUCUGGGAACUGUCCUGAGAACAGAGAUCAGUUCAACUUCACCCCACAGCAACCCACAGGCAAAAUAUUAUGAAAGAUGCUUAAGUAUAAAGUGGUGCCUGUUUUGUGUUUAACUUUGCAGUAGUGAAAGGACAACAAAUUAAUCUACAGCAACCAGGCCCAAUUAUAUAUAUAUAUAUAUAUAUUUUAUAAGUGCAAGUCUAUUGAUUUUUUUACUUUUGCAUAAUAUUGGUUUCAUGUGUUCAUUUAUGUUUUCCUGCUAGGAGGAGAAAGAGAGCUUCAGAUUGCUUUCCUUACUAUUUGCUCCUGUUUCCCGCAUCCACAAAUACCUGAACAUCAUACAGGCUCUGUUAUGCAGUUCUGGCACUGGACAUGCAGACUGGUGUUCACUGCAGGAGAGUGAGCGGGUGCUGUGGGACCUCUGCACAAGCUGUCACAUGACUUUAGCAAAGACGGGGCCGUGCGAAGAAAGGGAGGGGCCUGAACAAGGUUUUAGAAGCAGGUGCUGUGCCGAGAGCCCCGACUGUGGCCCUUCCGCUUUUACCAAGUACUGUGCCAACACCGAUGCAGAUACAGCCAGUGUCACAGCGGGAGCAGGCAUAGACAGCACUGUACACCAGAGGAAAUGCUGUCGUGUUGGCAUCUCACAGACACUACCUCGGCCCAGUGGCAUUUUAAGAAAUGGCCGUGAGCAUAUGUGUGAUCUGACCCCUGGUGGCUGGACUGCAGAGUACAUGUGGAAUGGCAGCAUAGGGCAGAGCCACACAGGUCCCAUCUGUGUACCCUUCGCUCGUCAUCCUAGAGAAGGAGGGCGCUUUCUGAAUCCUGUGCCACCUGUAGGUGUCGGGGGAAACCUCACCACUGCUGCCAAGAGUCAGUGCUCUUCGGCUGGUCUGGCCGUGCGUGUGUGUGGGUCUCCAGGCCUCGACGGACGCAUAUACACAUCUGACCUGUACCCUCCGUCACAACGUAUCGAUGACGGCGACACAGACUGCGAUGUGGCUGAUGCAUCCAUUUUUGACUUCUCUUCUGUAACGACCUGUAGCCCAGAUGAAACUCUGAAUCGACUCAGGGGAGAGGAAGCACGUGAUGAGGAGGAUAAUGAUGAAGAGAACAGUGAGGUUCCAGUUCUCCUCAAACCUUCAUACACUCACAAUUCUUCAGCUGUGCAGACAGGGGGAAGCUUAUGCUUGCAGUGGCAGAUUCCUAGACGGGCUCCUAUUCCUUCUGAGGUUUGCAUUGGGGCUCAAGGAAAAACGCAUGCCCCAAAAGCACACAGAAUCCUUGCCAGUGCCUUCCGGCCGAUUUGGGACCCGACUUAUUCACAGGGUGAUGUGACUCCUGCAAAAGAGAACUCUGUAUCUUUCAGCUCAACCAAUCAGAUCAUUAAUCAGCAGCAAGAGACUGACCAAUCACGAUCUGCAUAUAGAGGGACUGGAGUCCAGCGGGCUGCAGCAGUGUGGCAUGACAGUGAGGACAGUGAAGGACCCUGCAGUACAGUCUGA